UAGACUUUCUUUCCUGGGCUGGCUUUGAACUAUGAUCCUCAGAUCUUAGUCUCUUGAGUUCCUAGGGUUACAGGCUUCAGCCAUCAGUGCUCAGCCUGGACAUU
Molecule: long non-coding RNA, 104 nt
Organism: Dipodomys spectabilis (banner-tailed kangaroo rat)
Lineage: Eukaryota; Metazoa; Chordata; Mammalia; Rodentia; Heteromyidae
Exons: 3
Source: RefSeq, a predicted model, not a curated record